RNAcentral lists this unclassified non-coding RNA (198 nucleotides) under uncultured Ascomycota. Its description in RNAcentral is "sequence contains ITS1". Lineage: Eukaryota; Fungi; Ascomycota. The record is from RNAcentral.
ACGAGUUAGGGUCUCCUAGGCCCGACCUCCCAACCCUUUGUUUAUUAGACCUCUGUUGCUUCGGCGGACCCGUCUCAAACUGACCGCCGGAGGAUCGCCCACCCGGCGUCCUCUGGCCAGUGCCCGCCGAUAGCCCAUCAUUUUAACUCUGGAACAAUCGUGACAUGUGUCUAAGUGAAUUUAUUCAAUUAAAAGCAA